RNAcentral lists this ribosomal RNA (29 nucleotides) under Raphia farinifera. Its description in RNAcentral is "partial 26S ribosomal RNA". Lineage: Eukaryota; Viridiplantae; Streptophyta; Magnoliopsida; Arecales; Arecaceae. The record is from RNAcentral.
GUGACCCCAAGUCAGUGGCCACCGGUCGA